UACUCUUUCAGCGAGACUCUUUUGGUUUUUAAUUUAUUCGUUUCGUUAUGCGUUUUGAAAAUUAGUAUUGCCUCUCAUGAUUAUUUCUUGUUAAAUUCAUUGUGAUAGUUUCGUUUGGCGUUCAUAGUUGGAACUCAUAUUUGUACUCUGUAGACUAGUACAACAUGUCUAAAUUUAUUUUGAUAAUUGUAGUAAUGUGCAUGUUAAUAUUUUGGAGACUUUGUGUAGAUAUUUCAUUUCAGUGUAACAUGUACAUGUUAGAACCCCUUUGUUGUGUCGCAUGUGUUGUGACAUUAUAUUUUGUUAGAAUACCGUAGGGUAUACCUGAGCUAUAACCACCUGUG
RNAcentral lists this long non-coding RNA (344 nucleotides) under Panax ginseng (ginseng). Its description in RNAcentral is "long non-coding RNA (PGIN_LNC015939)". The record is from RNAcentral. Lineage: Eukaryota; Viridiplantae; Streptophyta; Magnoliopsida; Apiales; Araliaceae.